AGACAUCGAACCGUGCGGUUUAGGAUCGUUCCUGGUGCUUUCAUCGUGGUUUUCCUCGCUGUGCCAGCUUCCCUUGCAUCCUGCUGCUUUUGUGGUGGUGGUGGUAGUGAUGGUGGUGAUGGUCACGGUGUAAGGUUUGAAGCAACACGUUAGUGGUUAGUGAAUGGUAGAGUGUUUGUUGAAACGAAAAGUGAAAAUUUACGAAGUGCUUAAAGGUAAAUGUGAAUCAGCGAGUGAGUGUUUUUACUGCGCCUGGUAUUUGAACGUCGAGGUUCCAACGUUAUAUCGAAGCGUUCCGGGAAGAGUUACACGGUCACCACACAACGACGAUUGUCUGUGCGAAGUCUGUGCACACUUAGUUAAUUAAAUUCCAUCACUCUUGCGUGCGACGUGUCGGUGUGGUAGUGUCCAGGCAGUGGAACAGCGUCCUAUAGAGGUCCAUCAACGGAGCGCCUCGUCACUAGAUCACAAAUACGGCACACGGCUAGCAUUAAUGUAAUUCCCGUUGGUCCGGGACCUUUCGUCCGGUGAAUUUGAAACAAACAACAACAACAACAAAAAACCAACCAGACGCACGACGAAAGAUCGGAAAAAUUUCAUACAUCCCAAAAUAAAAGCCUCCCUAAGCCUCUCUGGCCACGCUUCGCUAUCAACGAUCCCGAACAAUAAAUUUGAAAUUUCCCCGUAAGGAAAGGGGCCAGCGGACGUGUUCCGUGGACAACCUUUUUCAUCUUUCUGUCGUUUCGAAACUACCAAAGGCCGGCCUACGCCUGCCACCCAACCCAACCCAACCCAGCACCGAAGUUCGGAGCCACCUAAAAGGAUAAUGAGCCUCUAGUAGAAUGAUUCAAAAUCGACAUUAAUCAUACCUUCGCUGGCGAGGAAAGAGUCGUACCGUAACGUGGAAUACGCUCGCACUAGCUCGAAAUCCUUCGUAAAAGGGUUCAAUCCCAACGGGGCUCUGGAUCGUUGAGCCCGUUUGGACCGGAAUUGAAGCAUUCAGAGUCCAGUCCAGUGUUGGCGCUGGACCGUUAGAUCCGUGAGAUACACCUUUGAGCUCGAAAGGAAGGGUAGCGCCCCCCCCCGAAGGUUGCCGCAGAAAUUAAAGAAAAAUAAAAUUACCCUCACCCAGCACCAGCACACCGGGCGCGUGUUGAGCUGCGGACAUAAGCGGUAACGAAUAGCCACGGGCGAGGAACUCAUCAACUC
Molecule: long non-coding RNA, 1209 nt
Organism: Anopheles darlingi
Lineage: Eukaryota; Metazoa; Arthropoda; Insecta; Diptera; Culicidae
Exons: 3
Source: RefSeq, a predicted model, not a curated record